RNAcentral lists this ribosomal RNA (445 nucleotides) under uncultured bacterium. RNAcentral describes it as "partial 16S ribosomal RNA". It matches the Rfam family "Bacterial small subunit ribosomal RNA", at positions 354 to 796 of the family's 1533-position model. The record is from RNAcentral.
GUGAGGAAUAUUGGUCAAUGGGCGAGAGCCUGAACCAGCCAAGUCGCGUGAAGGAAGAAGGAUCUAUGGUUCGUAAACUUCUUUUGCAGGGGAAUAAAGUGCAGGACGUGUCCUGUUUUGUAUGUACCCUGAGAAUAAGGAUCGGCUAACUCCGUGCCAGCAGCCGCGGUAAUACGGAGGAUCCGAGCGUUAUCCGGAUUUAUUGGGUUUAAAGGGUGCGUAGGUGGUUUGAUAAGUCAGCGGUGAAAGUUUGCAGCUUAACUGUAAAAAUGCCGUUGAAACUGUCGGACUUGAGUGUAAAUGAGGUAGGCGGAAUGCGUGGUGUAGCGGUGAAAUGCAUAGAUAUCACGCAGAACUCCGAUUGCGAAGGCAGCUUACUAAGCUACAACUGACACUGAAGCACGAAAGCGUGGGGAUCAAACAGGAUUAGAAACCCCGGUAGUCC